RNAcentral lists this long non-coding RNA (440 nucleotides) under Ailuropoda melanoleuca (giant panda). RNAcentral's name for it is "lncRNA (ENSAMEG00000031056.1)". Lineage: Eukaryota; Metazoa; Chordata; Mammalia; Carnivora; Ursidae. The record is from RNAcentral.
GUCCUGGGGCUGCCAUCCCAAAUCUUCAAAGGGCUGAGACCUAAGCUUGCCUUUCUCCUGCAGGGUGACUCUGGGGGACCCCUGACCUGCGUGAGAUCUGGGCGCUGGGUCCUGGUGGGCGUGUGCCUUCCUGGUGGCCAGCCUCGUGACACGGCGACGUUCACCUCCCGGCCUGCAGCUGCAGCGGCAGCCACCCUGUGCUGCUGCAUCCCGUCCAUCAGCAAGAUGCUGAGAUCGAGAUGGAAAUCUUCGGCCUAAGCCAAGGACGCGCCACACCAGUGACUCGUCCACCGCCUCCGACCCAGGGGAUGAAGCAGCGGUGAAGGUCAGCCAGGGGCGGGCGAGUUAGCGGGGAGCCAGGGCUGCCUAGGCUCAGGGAGGGAAGAGUCACAGGAGGGGAGAGGACUUCAGGGGGCCCCGGGGGAGGCACAGGCUAGAAG